CACGAUAGUUUGCUACAAAGAAAAGAGAAGCACCAACGAUUUUCAGCACCAGCGCCACAUAGUUGAAAUCGUUUAAACUGUAUGUAGCUGCUGUUCGAGCGAAGCAGUCCUUUGUAGAAUUCGAUCACGAAAGGACUUGUAAAUCGCUCAUGCGAAAUAAUUAAUUUGCAAGUUAGUAAUUUGCGUUCGGAAAUAUGUUAUAUAAAAUAUGUUAAAGUAAAAAUAUUAUCUUCGAACUAAUUGUAUUAUUUAUAUUGUUCAUUAUAUUGCACAAUCAUGUUCGUUCUUUAUUCAUUCUUUUUUCAUUCAACUUCAUUCUGUAUUAUCUGGAUAAAGAUUCCCAUUAUUUUGUUCAUCACAUGGAAUCAACGCAGCAUACUCAUUGUCCUUCGUAUUCUCCACAGGGAAAUUUCAACUCAAACAGUUGAGUAAAAUGCUGCCCAACCUCAAGGAGAAAAAAGCAAGAAACUCUCGGCUCCCUAUGUAGAGGUCCAGGGUGGAUCCCUUAGGCCAAGACUAGCCAUAAUGAAGCUGAUUAUCCUCUUUUCUGCUGAUAUCAAAGAGGUUGUAAACGAAACAAAACUAUAUCGCGGAGAAGUUGCCCACAGGGAGUACUUAUGCCAUACUUUAGUAUGCCAAUAACAAAUCCGAUAAGUCACAUAAUCCGAUAAAGCUUCCAUUUCAAAGACUGUCGAAAUUUCGCGAAGAGUUUGAUAACUGCAAACACUUCGCGGAUUUACUCGGAACGCCAAUGAUAGAGUACGAAUAUAUAAAGAACAAAAUGCAUUUACAAUAUUUGAUUACGUCUCCCGAGAAUGAAGCAUGUGCGAUAGCGUCUGCUAUCAGUGUGACAAUAAUAUUAAAAUCGCAUGGAAAACGUUGAAGGAAAAAUAUGAAAACGAAGGAGUCUUGCUUUCUUCGCUGUUAAGCUGUACAGGCUGUUCAGGCUGAUUACACUAAGUUCAAACAAACGCCAGCUUCAUUGCACAGCUUUGAUUGUAAAGUGAACGAGGCAAGUCGAUCGUAAUUCACUUAUUGACGCAGAGUUAGAUGAGGAAUAAAUGUGCGUGGAAGCUACGGAAUAUCUGACGUGCGAAUAACUAGAAGAGUUGUUGUUGAUAAAAAAAAAGGCAAAGGAUCUUUUACCGUCAAAAAACCAGCAGAAACGCUGAAGAAACACCACGAGCACAAUUAUGUCCGGUUUAUCGUACAUGUCACCUGGUAGCUUCGUUUAUUGUUUUUAAAGCGUUUCCUUCUUCGUUGCCAAAACGCGGCAGCCCUAUAUUGACUAUUUCGUGAACCGUUACAAUGUUAGAGAAAAUGUACAGGCAAGCAGACCUAUCGCGUAUGUGGUGCAAGACAUCAUUCGUUGUUGCAUUAGAGGACAGUGAUAGAAAAUACCACAGAAGUCAGGCAGGGCCAUUUUUAUAAAAAAGGAAAAGUUUCGAGCAAAGAAUUCGUUCUGAUUUCAUCACCGACG
This is a long non-coding RNA of Bombus impatiens (common eastern bumble bee), 1480 nucleotides long. RefSeq lists it as uncharacterized. The record is from RefSeq and is a predicted model, not a curated record. The transcript has 2 exons. Lineage: Eukaryota; Metazoa; Arthropoda; Insecta; Hymenoptera; Apidae.